CCUCUUUGAUGAAGCUUUUCCCUGUAAACCUCAACUUUUCUGAUACAGAUCUUUAUAAUUAAAAGAAGCAGCAUGUGGAAAGCUAAAAGCCAUGUAAUCCCUGCAACCCAGCGGAAGUUACAGGAAACUAAGACUGGAGUAUGAUAACAGCAUAACUGGUGCAUGUGGUCCUGGGCUGUAUGCCAAAACAAAGAGGAGAGUGCGGGCAGGGGAAAGUAGGAAUAGCUGGAACGAAAAAGGUCAUGUUCUCAGAACUGUAAAGGGCUGGAUCUCUGGUGUCAAUCAUCUCAGUACCUGGGUCAAAAGAGCUGCCAGUUACCAGCUUAUGGCCUGACACAGCUCAGCUGUAUUGGAUAUAAACAUGUGCAUGGCAGAAAUAAGAAUGUGCCUCUAUUUCUUUUCUGCAAGAAUAAAGGAUGGCACAAAAAAACUCAAGGCAACCUGCAAAGCAAACAAAAUCCUUGAAUUUUACUUGCUAUUUGUUAGUAUUUAACCAUGCAAUCUUCUACUUACAAGAAUAUUUCUGGGAAGAGAAGACUGAAAUCUGUACACUGUGUUUGCAUGACUACUUGCACAUUACUUUGUGUUCUCAGUGUGGUUCAAAUCAUGCAGUGAGCCACAAGUGGAUACUGUAUAGGUUGGGAGAAUGGACAUGAAGUGGUUGGUGACUGAAUUGGCUGCCUUAAAAUUGUCAAUUAACUCAUGCUACCAGAAGUUCAAGUAGUGGAAAAGAAGUUCACUUCUAAACUCAGUCUGAUGUAUUUUUUUUAAAGCAGAAAUUCUAGGAAAAAGUUCAGUGAAGUUCUGUUGUCACAGGCAAUUUCUUACAUAAGAUCUCAAGAUGUUUUGUAAAAUCAAUUAGAACCAUGACUUCGUAGAUGAGCGUGCUCAAAAAAUCUGAACUGCAACUUUUGCAAAUCCAUUUAUGCUCCAUAUCCUUCCCAAUGCAGUUGAUCACUUUUCAGGAUUAGUUCCACUGAAUUAAACAGAAUCAAUUAUAGAAUAAGGAAGUACAGUGUCAUGCAGAGACCUGGGUAAGAUAACGUUGUAGAUGUGUCAAUCGGUUGUGUUUUGCUAAGUAAUGCAAAUGUAAGGGGAUGUGGGUUUGCUGAUUGGAUCCUCCUACACUUGCUAUUUGCUAUCAAAUCUUUUUGUGCUGUCCACACUCCUUGCAAAAGCACCUGUAACAGUAACAUUACAAACCUGCUAGUACUUUGUCAUCUCCCAUUGCUUCCCAGCUUUAAGAACUGAGCUUACAUUUUCCCAAAGCUAAAUCUGAAGGAGGAUGGGCCUCUUGCUUUACCUGGUCAUAAAAUAUCUGUGCCCAAGAAUGAUGCAAAAGCUCUGGGAAAAAAAUCUUUACCUGCUUCGUUGAGAUUCCCAGAGUCUGAUUUGCUCACACUUUCUUGCAGACAUGAAAAGGAAACCUAAAAACAUGGCUGUGUUGUCCUCAAUCGGAGACGUGAAAAUGAUUUCCCAAGAGAUAACCUACGAGAAAUCAGUAACUUUUGUGCAAGUAGGACAAAAUUUUGCUAUAUGAAAAGCAUACUGGAGACUUGAAAGACUAUAGGCUUCCUAUAGUACCACCUAAUCUGCACAAAGAGGCAGUCAUGCAACACUUCUACAGUUACACUGUUGCCUUCUCUGUUGUUUGCGCUGUGUGGGCCCAGCUCUGCCCAUAGCUGUGUGGUGCUGUCCUUCCUUCUUAGAUCCUGUGCAAGUGUGGGCAGCUGCUUAAGAUGAUCCAAAUGUUGCCUAGUAACAUUGAUGCACAAAAUAACUAUUUGAAUGUUCUCUACAGGGAUUGCUUCCUUAAGGCUUGCUAGACUCAGGGAACACUUAAAAUGUAUGUUUUAAAAAUGACUACAUCAAUAUGUUUAUCCACUCCUAACUUCUAAUGUAAGCUAACACUGAGAUUCUGGUAACUCUGAGGUUGGCCUUGUUAUCUACAAUCUGCUGCUCAGAUGGGCUCAGCAGUGACACUCACUGCAUUGUUAUCUGUGUAAGGGUAAAACGUUGGCUGUUUUUCAUGUUACUUAUUUGCAAAAUGUUUGAUCACUGACUUUGAUGUGAAUAUUCAAUUAUGCAGCAUAAUGGAUGAUUUUUU
Molecule: long non-coding RNA, 2107 nt
Organism: Gallus gallus (chicken)
Lineage: Eukaryota; Metazoa; Chordata; Aves; Galliformes; Phasianidae
Source: Ensembl